Mycena floridula is the source of this 92-nucleotide non-coding RNA. The record is from the annotation of a GenBank genome assembly. Lineage: Eukaryota; Fungi; Basidiomycota; Agaricomycetes; Agaricales; Mycenaceae.
GGUGACAUGGCCGAGUGGUCCAAGGCGCUGGAAUUAGGAAGAAUCCGAACAUCCAGUCCGAAAGGGCGUGGGUUCGAACCCCACUGUCAUCA